Molecule: long non-coding RNA, 2047 nt
Organism: Dermochelys coriacea (leatherback sea turtle)
Lineage: Eukaryota; Metazoa; Chordata; Testudines; Dermochelyidae
Exons: 2
Source: RefSeq, a predicted model, not a curated record
AAAAUACAUCUCCUAAAGCCAUAUCUGAAAUAAGCAUCUAAGAUUACAAACUGCUUUUGAAAACCUGGAAAAGAUUCAGAAAAGAGCGACUAGAAUUAGGGGUCUGGAUAAUGUGCCUUACAAUAAAAGACUUAUGAAGCUCCAUCUAUUUAGCUUCUCAAAGAGAAAGUUAUGAGGUGACUCAAUCACCAUCUAGAAGUACCUAUAGGGGGAAAAGUUUCUGAUAAAAGAGGACUCUACUCUAGUAAAGGUAUAACAAGAACCAAUGAUGGGAAACUGAAACUAGAUAAAUUAGAGAGACAAAAGUGCAAAUUUCUAAAUUAAGGUAUUUAAUCACUGGAACAACUUAUCAAGGGACGUAGUAGCGUUCCAUAACUUGAAAUCUUUAAAUCUAUAUUGGAUGUCUUUCUAAUUAUAUACUAGCUCUACCACAAGCUAUGGGCUUGAUGCAGGAAUUAAUGGAUGAAAUUCUGUAUCCAGUGUUACACAGGUCAAACUAGAUGUCCAUAAAGGUUUCUUCUUCUGGCCUUAUAUCUAUGAACAUUUAUGAUCUUACUGUUCAGAGCUUCAUUAAAUAUUAGCAUGGUGCAGAAUUUACAAUCAGAUUAUAAAACUGGUCAUUAAAUUCCCAAUGCUUUGUUUUUCUGUUCUAAAUAUUACCAUUUAACCUAAGAGCCCAGCUGUCUGAAUAAUCUUAUGUAUGUAACCAUGUCCAACCACGCUGCCCAAUUAUCCUCAUUCUCAUUUGCUGUGUCACGUUUAUAAUCUAGUUUGUAAAUUCUUCAGGGCGGGCACUUUAUCUAACAGUCUGUUCUGUGAGACACCAUGCACACCUCUGGUCUUGGUACAAAUACAAAAGAAAAACUAGAAAAGAGGUUUUUAAAAUUGCAUUAAAGCAUGGGUUUGAUUGUGGUCACUUGCUAAAGGCAUAAAGCCACUUCUGGUUUCAAGGUCAGGCAUCCCUCCGGGAUGGCAGAUAUGGCUUACUCACUAAUCAAUGACAAAAGUACCACUGCAAAAGCCAGCUACUGUCAAAAUCUGGCUUGGAGUUCAUUUGGGUGCCUAUUUCAGACUUGUGCUCUAAAAGACAACAAGGUUUAGGACAUGAAUACUACCCCUCAUGCUCAUCUUUUCAAGUUGCACCCAAAUUGCUGGGAUGAUAAAAAGACUGUGAAAUUCUCUCUGAAUUCCCAGACUAGAGCCCUGCAUGGGACUAUUAUUUUUAAUCCCACUCCCACCCCAUCCCGCAAUAUCCACUCCCACCCACUCCUGCAUUGUUUCUUGCAUUUUUAUCCUGCUCCCACCCGCAAAUCCUGCCAGAGAGACCAAUUCCCCUAUGCUACUAAAACAAACACAUGGUCGGUUAUAUAUAGUAUUUUUUUACAUGGUUUAAGAAAGAUUUGUUUAAACUCCUGUUAUAAUAGACAUCAAAUCUCUUUCUAUCCCUCACGUAAAUUUAGGUAUUAAAACCUUUAUUUUUUAAAAAAAGAAAAGCUUGCUUUACAUUGCUGAAAUUCUAUUUAUGACAAACUGCUGUUGUGCUUAUCAUACGGAACAUCAAAGCAAAUUGCACCACAGUUUUACCUUAAAAGGUGUAGAUUUUUUUAAAUUAUUAUAAAAAGUAAGUUAAAAAAACACUGGAAUUUUUUUAAACUGCUUACGUACCAUUUUUAGAACUUUGAAACAUACUAUUCCAAUUAUUUAUAUGUCAGGAUUGCUUUUUGAAAAACACUUAAUGGAAAAACUGCUCACAGCACUUGGUUUUUGAUGGAAAUAAAUGUUAAGAAGAGGCUCAAACUAAGUGAUCGAUAAUAAGGUCAACUUAAACAGCAGGUGUAGCUAAACUUGCAUUUUGUUUUCCCACAAAUUUCCACAAUCUGUUUUUUUUUUGCCCACCCAUCCUGCCUGCAACAAAAUACAUUUACCCGCCCCUGAUAUUAUGGCAGUGGAUCCUGUAGAACUCUAUCUCAGACUAUCUUUUGCACAAGUUUUUUUUUCCUUCUGCUGCAUUGCGUAUAGUAGUAUUACUAUAAAUUAUUUCAAUUGC